UACGUAGGGUGCAAGCGUUAAUCGGAAUUACUGGGCGUAAAGCGUGUGCAGGCGGUUGUGCAAGACCGAUGUGAAGUCCCCGGGCUUAACCUGGGAAUGGCAUUGGUGACUGCACGGCUAGAGUGUGUCAGAGGGGGGUAGAAUUCCACGUGUAGCAGUGAAAUGCGUAGAGAUGUGGAGGAAUACCGAUGGCGAAGGCAGACCCCUGGGUCAAGAUUGAAGCUCAUGCACGAAAGCGUGGGGAGCAAACAGG
This 253-nucleotide ribosomal RNA is filed under the name uncultured bacterium. RNAcentral describes it as "partial 16S ribosomal RNA". It matches the Rfam family "Bacterial small subunit ribosomal RNA", at positions 524 to 776 of the family's 1533-position model. The record is from RNAcentral.